This is a long non-coding RNA of Musa acuminata AAA Group (dessert banana), 602 nucleotides long. RefSeq lists it as uncharacterized. NCBI's taxonomy places the organism in Eukaryota, Viridiplantae, Streptophyta, Magnoliopsida, Zingiberales, Musaceae. The record is from RefSeq and is a predicted model, not a curated record. The transcript has 4 exons.
GGCCCGUGACAUGAUUCCGGUAACUGUACUGAGGUGACCAGACCUCAACACCACCGUCUCCCUCACCCGUCUCGCUCGCUCUGCGGUGCUUUCCCUUCUGCUUCGGUUUGUCCUCCGAAGCUUGCAAAUCUCUGCUCCUGGAAUUUGACUCCGAUGCUGGACUUCAAUUCCUUCAUGUCAAGAUGGAAACCUGUUACAUUUGAAGAAUCUCUAACCUUUGUGAAGAAAGUAAAGGCUCGCGAUUACCAAUUGUACUUGUCAUUGUUCGACAUUGUCAGCCGGAACGAACAGAUGACCCCAGAUAUCUACGAUGAUCUACUAUUGCUCUUCGAGAGUCACAAUGAUCUGCAAAAGGAGCUAAUGCGUUUCAAACCUCUCGUCGUAGAAAGAAUGAUUGACAACGACGUUUUAUCAGGAAUGGCUCUUCUCCUUGUGCUAAUAUUAUUCUUGAGCUUGUUCAUUUUGUUUGAACAACCUCUGAAAUAUGCUUUUCAACGAGUGUUUGGAACCUAACUAAAAGGGGGCAUUAUGGUGCAUGUAUGGUUGAUGUUUCCUCUUGGCAAUAAGAUCAUUAUCCUCAUGCCCACCCAGUUUCUUGGAAA